Molecule: ribosomal RNA, 369 nt
Filed under: Asaccus sp.
Lineage: Eukaryota; Metazoa; Chordata; Lepidosauria; Squamata; Phyllodactylidae
Description: partial 12S ribosomal RNA
Rfam family: Bacterial small subunit ribosomal RNA
Source: RNAcentral
CCAUCCGCCAGAGAAUUACACGAGAAAAUCCUAAAACUCAAAGGACUUGACGGUGGCCUACAUCAGCCUAGAGGAGCCUGUCUUUUAAUCGAUAAUCCACGUUAUACCUCACCCACCCCUCACAAUCACAAGCCUGUAUACCUCCGUCGCCAGCCUACUUAGUGAUAAAAUAAAAGUUGGCAAAAAAGUAAAACCCACUAGCACGUCAGGUCAAGGUGCAGCUAAUGAGGUGGACAACGAUGGGCUACAUUUUCUAUCCACCAGACCACGCCGUAAGCUCCAUGAAACCUAAGAUGAAAGUUGGAUUUAGCAGUAAGCACAGGCAAGACAUGCCUGACUGAAGCUUGCUCCAGGCCGCGUACACACCGC